GUUUAUUCGCCCUGUCGUACAGUCCCGAAAAAACCUGCACAUCACUCUUCUAAGUACGGCGACUAAGAUACGUUUCACAGGCAACAGAGCUACUGGCGUAGAAUACGUUAAACACCCUUUUCCCGGAACGCGUUUAGCAGAAGCAAGACUCGAGGUGAUCAUCUGUGCAGGCGCAAUUGGCACUCCUCAACUUCUCAUGCUGUCUGGUGUCGGACGGAAAGCUGAGCUACAACGGCUUCAGAUUCCACUGCUCGCAGACCUGCCAGUGGGCGAAAACCUUCAGGACCAUCCUAUUAUCGGAGGAGUAUCAGCAACGAUGCGCGGAAACCAUGGCAUCAACACGAGAAAUCUAUCUAUGGUUACGGACUACAUAAUCAACAGAUCUGGUACCGUCUACUUCUGACUAUA
This is a long non-coding RNA of Ornithodoros turicata, 408 nucleotides long. RefSeq lists it as uncharacterized. The record is from RefSeq and is a predicted model, not a curated record. NCBI's taxonomy places the organism in Eukaryota, Metazoa, Arthropoda, Arachnida, Ixodida, Argasidae. The transcript has 3 exons.